Long non-coding RNA from Poecilia latipinna (sailfin molly), 3658 nucleotides. RefSeq lists it as uncharacterized. The transcript has 3 exons. The record is from RefSeq and is a predicted model, not a curated record. Lineage: Eukaryota; Metazoa; Chordata; Actinopteri; Cyprinodontiformes; Poeciliidae.
AGGCCAUUUGAAUCAAGACAUGUUAAGUUUUAAAACUAGCUUAUUUUAAAUUUAUUUUCUCAACAGUUUAUAUCUGAGUUUUCUCGACUAAACUGUUGUCAGGUAAUGGAAGACAAUUGAUAAUGGUGGGAUAGUUAGGUUUCAUACAGUGACCAAAGGUGUUUUCAAGGAAAAAUCUUUCCCUUGAAAAAAGGGAAAGGCAUUAGCAUUAGCCUUCUCCCUAAAAUAAGCAUUCUAGCUAUUUUUAACGUAUUAGCUAUGUUUAGUAUACUGAAUGGAGGAUGUCAAUGUAAGACGAUAUGCUUUUGAUGCCCCACAUGCUACUGACAGCAUUUAGGCUAACAUUAGCAUUUUGGCUCAUUUUAGUUUAUACAUUAAUUUUAACAAAUUAAAUGGCGUAACUCCAUGUUAGUUAACAUGUUUGUGAUUCUCCAUAUGCUAUUGACUACAUUUUAGCUAAGCUUAGCAUUGAUGCUAAUUUUUAGCAUCAGAAUGCUGGGUCCAGCCGAUGGGCACACAUUGGCAGGCCACGUUUAAAUUUCUUCAGAAUUUUUCUAGUUGUGUUUAGAAUUCAUUGAAAUGUACAGAAGCACAUUGCUUUCACGCAGAAAAAUAAAUUCGAGCACUAUCAUGUUAUAACGUGAUGCAUAUCUUGUAAAAACGUGAUCAUUUUAAGUCCAGGAAGUGGUGGUAUUAUGCUAGGCAGAGGCUAACAGGAAUUGGUCGAGUAUCCCUUCAUGUUUGCUAUUCAUUUUUUAUAAUAUUGAUGUGACCAAUUAAGGAGAUGGAUAGGAUAUUUAAUCUUACUUUUAAAGCUAACAUAUUUAGACACUUUUGACCUGGAAUAGAUUAUUCAUCUCUGAUGCUAUGUUGCAUGACGAUAAAUCUGAAUCUGGAAGGUUGUUGGCAUUAUUAUCCUAGCUGAUGCAUCCAUGUAAGCCACAACAGCUAAACAGAAAGGCAGAUGCUCUAGGACAAAAAAGAAAGAAAACAGAAAAUUAAAAUAGCAAAUAUUGCAAACGUGAUAGGAGUUCAUUUCUAAUGCAUUCCAGAUGCAAAAAGGUUUUUAAAUCUCAAGAUGGCUAUCACGUUUUUACAAGAUACGCAUCACGUUAUAACGUGAUAGUGUUCAAAAAUAAUAAUAAUUCUGCGUGAUAGCAAUGCGCUCCUGUAGAAAUGCAUUAUCUGAACUAACAUUUUUAUUUGAAACAGGAAAUGGGACUGUGAGAUGUUUUGUUUUGGACAUUAGUUGUCUCAGCAAUUUUUUUCUGCAAUUCCUCUGUUUCUCUGAUCAGUCCUCUGCAGUGUCUGUUCAGCUGCUACUUUUUUCUUUAUGAAUACCAGCAGCUCCUUGAUCAAUUUUGAAGCUCCUGUCUCUAUUGCUGGGUUUCAGACAUGUGACUGGGAUGACGUGCGAAAUGCAAAUGGAGGGCAGGAAGUGGAUUUCUCCAGUUCAAAAAACAUCCCAUAAUGCCCUAAAUGGGCUCGCAAAGGCGAGGUAUCGAAAAAAUACAGUCACAUUUAGGAUAUGAUCCAUACUGUCUAGCUAACAAAGACUUGUCAUGUACCGGUAAUCUGGAGUAUUUACCUGUCAUGGAGGUGAUUGACAUAACCAAGUAUCUGGUGCUGCAGACCUCAUGCUAUACCACCAGCCAAAUGGAAGCUUUCAAAAGUCUAGAAGCAUACACUUAUUUAGUUUCAGGUCGGGUCAACUGUUUAGGAUCCAAAGAAGCAUUAAAUGGCUGUCAACUUGUUUCUGCCUGGGUGAGUAAUGAGUUGUGCCAUUUUAAGUAAUUAGUCCAUGAUAACAAUGUUACCGCUAACAACAAGCUAACCCAUGUUAUUUCUAUGUGCUUGGAUCUACUUGUAAAAAAUUUAUGUAGCUUCUAUAAACCCAAAUUCAUGUUGGAGUUGUAUGUUAAUGUUGAGUCAUACUGCAUUUCUACAAUGUAGGUCAACCAUUCGCAGCGAUCAACAGAAACCCCAUUAAAAACGUGGUUUGUGGUCAGAGACAGUGGGGAAAUAGUCACAGCUCACUGUGACUCUGUGGCUGGACUGUCAAAUCUUGCUCAUGUGGGAGCUGUCCUUUCUGCAACAGAGGCUUGGGGUGAAAAUGAACAAAAGUGCUUUGCGCACCACAGAGAAGUGAAAAUGGCUAAUGCCAUCACACAUGAAAAAGAUACCAGCUGCACCUGUUGCCAAUAUUGAUUUUGUGUUUGCAAGAUCAAAAAAUAAAUUGGAUGAUGUUAUUCCAGGGAGGACAGGUAAUCAUGUUUGUCAAUUGGUUAUAUUCCGCAAAGAAAAAUUAUGUGUAAAAUAGAUGCAUUAUUUAUAUUAAUUUUAUUUUCUAUAACAAUUAGAUACACUUUUACAAUGAUGCAUUUAUUUUGGCCACCUCUGCAGGCAAGGUACCUGAGAAUUGUACAACACAAAUCCCUUUGUGUCCAAAAGUAGAGAGAGAUUCUGAGACGUAUGUGCUGUUUUUUGAGGCUUUACAUAAAACUUUUCCAAGAAGUGCUGCCUUGAUGUCCAGGGCACCAUAUUACAGAGUUUGUCCCCAAGUGUGUCUCCUUCUUAUCAAAAUCUCUCUCUGCAUACCAGAGACUUCACAGCUAUCUCCAGCACAAUAACAGGCAGCAUGCAGGGACUUCAGUUAUGAGGAACUCGGUGUUCUUCAGGUACCAGCUGUAGAGGAGGAGACAAGUAAAUUUGAAGCAACAUCCCAACAACAGUAUGAACAACUCCAAAGUGUGGACCAUGAGGGGUUUUCCUGCAUGGUCAGUGGGCUGUGGUUAAACUCAAUGUGGCCGUACAUGGGAGCCUCACCAGAUGGAGUGGUUUCAUGUGACUGUCCUGGAGCCGGUGUUUGUGAAAUCAAGGUAAAAACUAUUCCUCGAGAAAUUCUAAUCGCUGCAUUGCAGAUUUUGAGCACCUCAAAAUAUGAAUAUUACAACUGUAAUUUUUUUCCUCGAAUCAUUAUGUUAGUACAACUCACAACAUGUAGUUGUAGUUUUGUGGAUGGCGUUGUUUUUUCUGGGACAUUGAUUUCCCCCCCGUUACAAAAAGGGUUUUGACGUUCCAUGACCUUUUAAGACCUAGUUCAGAUUAAAACAUUAACAGUGGAACAAACCCGGUUCACAGACAUAAACAUGCUCACAUUUUAGCAUUAUUUUUUAUCAGUGAAAUAACUGAAACACAAGCUUUAAAAAAAUGUCAUAUUUCAAUGUUUGGAAGAGUAUUUUCCAUGUCUAGCUUUCAUUGUCUUAUUCUUCAGUGUCUACAGAGCAAACAGCAUGAAGUCAAUCUAAGGAUGUGCACUGGAUAGUAUGGCUUUUGUCUCGUAAAGGACGAAGAUUCUGUGCCACUGGAUAGGAAUCAUCCUUAUUACUGUCGGGUCCAGGCUCAGAUUCACAUUGUGGAUGUGCAACAUUAUGAUUUUUUUUUAGUGCGGAGUGAAAAUGGUAUUUAUAUGGAAAGAAUUCUGCCAGAUGCUGAGCUCUGGGAAACAACAGUUCCCAAAAUUCAGCAAUAUUUUACGCAUUGCAUCCUACCUGAAAUCCUGGGACAGAAAUUCACACAUGACUAACAAAUCUAAGCAUUAAAAAUGUUACUUUGAGUAGUUGAUGACAUGGUACCAUGAUAGAUAUAAUGUAUGUAA